This 301-nucleotide ribosomal RNA is filed under the name uncultured bacterium. RNAcentral describes it as "partial 16S ribosomal RNA". It matches the Rfam family "Bacterial small subunit ribosomal RNA", at positions 509 to 808 of the family's 1533-position model. The record is from RNAcentral.
CAGUAGCCGCGGUAAUACGUAGGGGGCAAGCGUUGUCCGGAACUAUUGGGCGUAAAGCGCGCGCAGGCGGUUUUUUAAGUCUGGUGUCUAAGUGCGGGGCUCAACCCCGUGACGCACUGGAAACUGGGAGACUUGAGUGCAGAAGAGGAGAGCGGAAUUCCACGUGUAGCGGUGAAAUGCGUAGAGAUGUGGAGGAACACCAGUGGCGAAGGCGACUCUCUGGUCUGUAACUGACGCUGAGGAGCGAAAGCGUGGGGAGCGAACGGGAUUAGAUACCCGUGUAGUCCCUGUCUCUUAUACA